This 437-nucleotide ribosomal RNA is filed under the name Heterosigma akashiwo. RNAcentral describes it as "partial Bacterial large subunit ribosomal RNA". It matches the Rfam family "Bacterial large subunit ribosomal RNA", at positions 1832 to 2277 of the family's 2925-position model. Lineage: Eukaryota; Raphidophyceae; Chattonellales; Chattonellaceae. The record is from RNAcentral.
CGAAAGUCGACGUAUAGGGUGUGACGCCUGCCCGGUGCUGGAAGAUUAAAUGAUGGGGUGCAAGCUCUUGACUGAAGUCCCAGUAAACGGCGGCCGUAACUAUAACGGUCCUAAGGUAGCGAAAUUCCUUGUCGGGUAAGUUCCGACCUGCACGAAUGGCGUAACGACUUCCCCGCUGUCUCCAGCAUAGACUCAGCGAAAUUGAAUUCUCCGUGAAGAUGCGGAGUUCCCGCGGUCAGACGGAAAGACCCCGUGCACCUUUACUACAGCUUCGCACUGGCAUCAGGAUUGUGAUGUGCAGGAUAGGUGGUAGGCUUUGAAACCGUGACGCCAGUCGCGGUGGAGCCUCCCUUGAGAUACCACCCUUUGCAUUCUUGAUGUCUAACCGCGGUCCGUUAUCCGGAUCCGGGACCAUGCGUGGUGGGUAGUUUGACUGG